This 560-nucleotide ribosomal RNA is filed under the name Nocardia sp. Its description in RNAcentral is "bacterial SSU rRNA". It matches the Rfam family "Bacterial small subunit ribosomal RNA", at positions 96 to 671 of the family's 1533-position model. Lineage: Bacteria; Bacillati; Actinomycetota; Actinomycetes; Mycobacteriales; Nocardiaceae. The record is from RNAcentral.
CGGCGACGGGUGAGUAACACGUGGGUGAUCUGCCUUGCACUCUGGGAUAAGCCUGGGAAACUGGGUCUAAUACCGGAUAUGACCUUCGGCUUCCUGGUCGUUGGUGGAAAGAUUUAUCGGUGCAAGAUGAGCCCGCGGCCUAUCAGCUUGUUGGUGGGGUAAUGGCCUACCAAGGCGACGACGGGUAGCCGGCCUGAGAGGGCGACCGGCCACACUGGGACUGAGACACGGCCCAGACUCCUACGGGAGGCAGCAGUGGGGAAUAUUGCACAAUGGGCGGAAGCCUGAUGCAGCGACGCCGCGUGAGGGAUGACGGCCUUCGGGUUGUAAACCUCUUUCGACUCCGACGAAGCGAGAGUGACGGUAGGAGUAUAAGAAGCACCGGCCAACUACGUGCCAGCAGCCGCGGUAAUACGUAGGGUGCGAGCGUUGUCCGGAAUUACUGGGCGUAAAGAGCUUGUAGGCGGCUUGUCGCGUCGAUCGUGAAAACUCGGGGCUCAACCCCGAGCUUGCGGUCGAUACGGGCAGGCUUGAGUACUUCAGGGGACCGUGGGAAUUCA